Molecule: ribosomal RNA, 253 nt
Filed under: uncultured bacterium
Lineage: Bacteria
Description: partial 16S ribosomal RNA
Rfam family: Bacterial small subunit ribosomal RNA
Source: RNAcentral
UACGUAGGGUGCAAGCGUUGUUCGGAUUUACUGGGCGUAAAGGGCGCGUAGGCGGCGCGGUAAGUCACUUGUGAAAUCUCUGAGCUUAACUCAGAACGGCCAAGUGAUACUGCAGUGCUAGAGUGUGGAAGGGGCAAUCGGAAUUCUUGGUGUAGCGGUGAAAUGCGUAGAUAUCAAGAGGAACACCUGAGGUGAAGACGGGUUGCUGGGCCAACACUGACGCUGAUGCGCGAAAGCCAGGGGAGCAAACGGG